RNAcentral lists this ribosomal RNA (440 nucleotides) under uncultured bacterium. RNAcentral describes it as "partial 16S ribosomal RNA". It matches the Rfam family "Bacterial small subunit ribosomal RNA", at positions 338 to 795 of the family's 1533-position model. The record is from RNAcentral.
CCUACGGGAGGCAGCAGUGGGGAAUAUUGCACAAUGGGGGAAACCCUGAUGCAGCGACGCCGCGUGAGUGAAGAAGUAUUUCGGUAUGUAAAGCUCUGUCAGCAGGGAAGAAAAUGACGGUACCUGACCAAGAAGCUCCGGCUAACUACGUGCCAGCAGCCGCGGUAAGACGUAGGAGGCAAGCGUUAUCCGGAUUUACUGGGUGUAAAGGGAGCGUAGACGGCAGGGCAAGUCUGGAGUGAAAGUCGGGGGCUCAACCCCAGGACUGCUCUGGAAACUGGCAGGCUGGAGUGCAGGAGAGGUAAGUGGAAUGCGUAGUGUAGCGGUGAAAUGCGUAGAUAUUAGGCGGAACACCAGUGGCGAAGGCAGCUUACUAGACUGUAACUGACGUUGAGGCUCGAAAGCGUGGGGAGCAAACAGGAUUAGAUACCCUUGUAGUC